RNAcentral lists this long non-coding RNA (214 nucleotides) under Salvia miltiorrhiza (redroot sage). Its description in RNAcentral is "long non-coding RNA (SMIL_LNC004118)". The record is from RNAcentral. Lineage: Eukaryota; Viridiplantae; Streptophyta; Magnoliopsida; Lamiales; Lamiaceae.
CAAAUUUUGGCAUUCAACGAAUCGAUUGAGAAAAUUCAACAAAUUUAGGGCAUUAAUGGGUAUAGAAAUUCAAUAAAUUCCAGCAACAAAUCUAGAAAAUUCCAAACCAAAUUGAGGAUAUUCUCCUGCCGCAUCACUCCAUCCACCGCUACCAAGCUCCUCACCAGUGCGAGAAGCGCCAGCUUCGCCAUGAAGCUACUCACGCAGGUAGAGC